CCUACGGGAGGCAGCAGUGAGGAAUAUUGGUCAAUGGACGCAACUCUGAACCAGCCAAGUAGCGUGCAGGAUGACGGCCCUAUGGGUUGUAAACUGCUUUUAUGCGGGGAUAAACCGAGUCACGUGUGGCUUAUUGCAGGUACCGUAUGAAUAAGGACCGGCUAAUUCCGUGCCAGCAGCCGCGGUAAUACGGAAGGUCCGGGCGUUAUCCGGAUUUAUUGGGUUUAAAGGGAGCGUAGGCCGCAUCUUAAGCGUGUUGUGAAAUGUCGCGGCUCAACCGUGGCACUGCAGCGCGAACUGGUGUGCUUGAGUGCGCGGAAGGUAGGCGGAAUUCGUGGUGUAGCGGUGAAAUGCUUAGAUAUGACGAAGAACCCCGAUUGCGAAGGCAGCUUGCUGUAGCGGUACUGACGCUGAUGCUCGAAGGUGCGGGUAUCGAACAGGAUUAGAUACCCGAGUAGUC
Molecule: ribosomal RNA, 460 nt
Filed under: uncultured bacterium
Lineage: Bacteria
Description: partial 16S ribosomal RNA
Rfam family: Bacterial small subunit ribosomal RNA
Source: RNAcentral